CCUACGGGGUGCAGCAGUGGGGAAUAUUGCACAAUGGGGGAAACCCUGAUGCAGCGACGCCGCGUGAGUGAAGAAGUAUUUCGGUAUGUACAGCUCUAUCAGCAGGGAAGAAAAUGACGGUACCUGAUUAUGAAGCCCCGGCUAACUACGUGCCAGCAGCCGCGGUAAUACGUAGGGGGCAAGCGUUAUCCGGAUUUACUGGGUGGAAAGGGAGCGUAGACGGCAGCACAAGUCUGGAGUGAAAUGCCGGGGCUUAACCCCGGAACUGCUUUGGAAACUGUGCAGCUAGAGUGCAGGAGAGGUAAGUGGAAUACCUAGUGUAGAGGUGAAAUGUGGAGAUAUUAGGAGGAAAACCAGUGGCGAAGGCAGCUUACUGGACUGUAACUGACGUUGAGGCUCGAAAGCGUGGGGAGCAAACAGGAUUAGAUACCCCUGUAGUC
Molecule: ribosomal RNA, 440 nt
Filed under: uncultured bacterium
Lineage: Bacteria
Description: partial 16S ribosomal RNA
Rfam family: Bacterial small subunit ribosomal RNA
Source: RNAcentral